Molecule: non-coding RNA, 21 nt
Filed under: Caenorhabditis elegans
Lineage: Eukaryota; Metazoa; Nematoda; Chromadorea; Rhabditida; Rhabditidae
Source: miRBase by way of RNAcentral
UGCUUUGUGGCUUUGCUGGUA